Molecule: non-coding RNA, 463 nt
Organism: Chrysemys picta bellii (western painted turtle)
Lineage: Eukaryota; Metazoa; Chordata; Testudines; Emydidae
Source: RefSeq, a predicted model, not a curated record
AAAAAUAAAACAUCCUUAUGAGAGUUUCAAGACUUCUAACAUGGUCACAAAACCCGCAUUUCCAAGUGGCAAUGCCUUCUCUAGCGGACUGUGCUCUUCCUAUUGUUAUCAGCGUUGGGCUUGCUGCACUAUACAGGCCAUCAGAGACGCUGAAUCCAAAGUCUUCACUCUCUGGGUCCUUGUGGAGCGUCAUCUGCAUGGAACGGCAUUGAACAAGAAAUUCUAAUGCAGUAUGAGCCACAGAUACAGGAGAGAAGCAUGGCAGUACAGCCGUGUGAUUCUGCUCUGGGUCUCCUGGUGGGGUUUUACUUGGACUGGGUAGUAAACAUUGGUGGUCUAUUAGUAUUGGGAGGAGUUUAAUUUAAACUUGUGCACACACGGCCAGCUAUUUAUACACGUCGUAUGUUCAGACGCUUUGGUAAUGGGCACAUAAAUCACAAACAAAUCUUCUGCCCUAGCUUGG